RNAcentral lists this long non-coding RNA (910 nucleotides) under Homo sapiens (human). Its description in RNAcentral is "HSALNT0300259". Lineage: Eukaryota; Metazoa; Chordata; Mammalia; Primates; Hominidae. The record is from RNAcentral.
AAGAAAACACAUUUUGGAGGGACAUCAUUAUGGCUUCACGGGGCACUGGGCAAUAGAAGGAAGAUCCCGUAUGAACAUCUGUGUUGUAAUUUUCCAUGACUAUCUCAGAAUGACCAAAACAUGACUACUAUUUUCUGGAUCAAAAAGUCAUGUAGGCUUGAUACUGACCUCUUUGGACAAACAUGGCUUAGGUAAGAGUCCAAACUCUUUUUUUUGGAAAUUGAGCAAGACUGGAAAUUUUUUCAGGGAGAAACAACCAAAGUUCAUAACCAAAUAGCAAUGUGUUUGCCUAACCUUGGAGAAACUUUUUUAUUUUAAGUUAUAAAAUUUGACGUUAUUGAAAACCUUCCCCCAAUGCAAAAGACAAUAGAAAGCACGAGAGGACCCAAGGUUGAGAAUGUGAAGACUUUGUGUGUGUGCGUGUGUGUGUGUGUGAAUGUGAAGACAUUGUGUGUGUGCGUGUAUGUGUGUGUGAAUGUGAAGAUAUUGUGUGUGUGUGUGUGUGUGUGUGUGUUGCUGUCAAAAGACAAAAUCGUGACAGAUUUAGUUUAAAGAUCUGGAUUGGCUCUUAUUUGUGAUUCUAGAAUUGGAUACCAUCUCAUUCUAUAAAGUAGAGUGAGUGUUCUGAUGAGCUGAGCUGGGGAGGUUGGUUUUAUAGACAGGAAAGGGCUGAAGAAGUCAGGCAUAGCCAAUCAAAAGCAGAGAUGUUCUUUGCAGGGUUGAAACAGGGGGACUUCCUCACCCCGCCAGCUGAAACUGGCCUGUUUGCGGAUUUGGCUAUUAUCUUUCUCUCUCUCCUGAUUUCUCAGGAGGUCAGAUCAACUGCUUAGUUUCAGCUUGGUGGCAUGGAACUUGACUAGCAGUAUCUCCAUUUUGGUUUAUUCUGUUGGGCCUAGUGCAGGAUCUUAGU